GAACUGAAGAGUUUGAUCAUGGCUCAGAUUGAACGCUGGCGGCAGGCCUAACACAUGCAAGUCGAGCGGUAGAGAGAAGCUUGCUUCUCUUGAGAGCGGCGGACGGGUGAGUAAUGCCUAGGAAUCUGCCUGGUAGUGGGGGAUAACGUUCGGAAACGGACGCUAAUACCGCAUACGUCCUACGGGAG
Molecule: ribosomal RNA, 188 nt
Filed under: Pseudomonas fluorescens
Lineage: Bacteria; Pseudomonadati; Pseudomonadota; Gammaproteobacteria; Pseudomonadales; Pseudomonadaceae
Description: partial 16S ribosomal RNA
Rfam family: Bacterial small subunit ribosomal RNA
Source: RNAcentral